Long non-coding RNA from Contarinia nasturtii (swede midge), 1606 nucleotides. RefSeq lists it as uncharacterized. The record is from RefSeq and is a predicted model, not a curated record. NCBI's taxonomy places the organism in Eukaryota, Metazoa, Arthropoda, Insecta, Diptera, Cecidomyiidae. The transcript has 4 exons.
UUUACUUUUCCCAAGGCACUUUUGAAUACGAUAGCAGUGAACAUCUUUCAGUGAUAAGAUACAGUGUAUUUUUUUCAUAAUUCCGUAACAUCCAUUUCUGUGGCCCGAUUUUGUUGAUUGACGACGACGGCAGAGACGACGACCAAGGAGAGAGAAUAUUUUCGUUGAGCUUAAUUGAAGGUGCUCAAAUUGUUUGAUCGUACGCCUCCCGGAGGACGUGCAACACCGUCAAUGUGUAUGUAUGCUAAAGCAAUCAAUGCGCAAACUGCUGUAAAACAAUAUAUUUUGUGGGAUUUUUUUUUGUAAAGUGUUGUGAACUCAAACGUUAAAGUGACCAAAACAUUUCCAUUUUCAAUUUUGAAUGUGAUUUUGAUAACAACAAAGAAAGAAAAAAAAACGAAAAACUUCUAACAAGAUUCAACAAACUUUGCGUCUGGUGAUAUGAUUGAGAGAAUUUAUAACGAUUUUUUCGUUGCGACGGAAGCAUCAAUCCAAGUUCACAACUACUGCACCGCUCAAUAUCGAUAAAUUGAAACGUACAUGACACGUAGCAUCAGCAGCUGCAGCAACACUCACAACGCCAACAAAAAUAACAAUAAAAACAACAGCAACGGCAGCAACAGCAAAGACAACAACACCAUCACAUUUUAACAACGACGUAAUUCGAGAGCAGUGCCCGAAGUCAUUUUCCAUUUAUAUUUAUCUCGAUCUUCCGCAAUCAAAAAGUCAUAUAUGUGAAUGGGAAAUAUUUUUGAAUGACUUCCAUCCCGUCGACCUGAUUUAAAUCGCAUGCAAACGAAAUUCAAUCACUUCAAACGGCAUCCAAAGAAAAUUACGCGCAACAAAAAAAACACACACAAAAAAGAAAAUCAGAAAAAGAAGAAGAACCAGAAAACGAAGGUAAACGAAAACAACCCAAAUGGGAUAAAAAAGGAAAAAGCUACUUGAAAUCUGGCCACAAGCUGUUUUGGGAACGCAAUUUUAAAGCAUAAACACGCAGCACUUCACCAUUUAUGACUGCAUACACAAGGGCUGUUAUAAAACCAAAUCACAAGGAGAAAAGACGAGAAUACAUCAACGACAACAACCGAAAAUAAAGAAUGAAAUAGGAAAGUAUUAACGGAUCACGAGGCAUACAUAUAAGUAGUUCCAGUUCAAACGCCGGAUAAAAGUAAUUUCAAGCUGAACAAAAGGAACGGAAAAGAACCUGACCCAAAUAAAGAGCAACUAAAAGGAAAAAAAAGGGAAAAAGCUGACACGGAAAAUUGUUUGACGAAGGGAAAAUCGAGUCUCGUCAUACUUUUUUAUUUACUCUUUUAAAGAGUGAAUCGCAGAAAUAACAACAACAACAAAAUUUGAAAUCAAAGCAAAGAAGGGAAUUGGUAUUGUUCAAAAAAUGGCUAUUAUUUCUAUCACAGUCUAUGCCACCAACGGCAGUGAAGCGGAAAAUCGAAGUGAUGCCAUCAAUGAGCAAUCAUGGAACAGAUCGCUUACCAAGGCUCUACAUCACAAUCGGUGUCACCGAUCGGAAUUCGAAGAUAUUUAUAACCCAUUCCAAAGGUUCGUGAGAAGUAGCUCUUAAAAAAGCAUUGACGUAAAUUUUGAC